This 292-nucleotide ribosomal RNA is filed under the name uncultured bacterium. Its description in RNAcentral is "partial 16S ribosomal RNA". It matches the Rfam family "Bacterial small subunit ribosomal RNA", at positions 505 to 796 of the family's 1533-position model. The record is from RNAcentral.
GUGCCAGCCGCCGCGGUAAGACGAACCGUGCGAACGUUGUUCGGAAUCACUGGGCUUAAAGGGCGCGUAGGCGGGCCGAAAAGUCAGGGGUGAAAUCCUCCAGCUUAACUGGAGAACUGCCUUUGAUACUGGCGGUCUGGAGUAAGGUAGGGGCAUGCGGAACUGAUGGUGGAGCGGUGAAAUGUGUUGAUAUCAUCAGGAACUCCGGUGGCGAAAGCGGCGUGCUGGACCUUUACUGACGCUGAGGCGCGAAAGCCAGGGGAGCAAACGGGAUUAGAUACCCCAGUAGUCC